UACGUAGGGGGCAAGCGUUGUCCGGAUUUAUUGGGCGUAAAGAGCGUGUAGGCGGUUUGGUAGGUCCGCUGUGAAAACUCGAGCUCAACCUCGAGACGCCGGUGGAAACCAUCAGACUAGAGUCCGGAAGAGGAGAGUGGAAUUCCUGGUGUAGCGGUGAAAUGCGCAGAUAUCAGGAAGAACACCAAUGGCGAAAGGCG
Molecule: ribosomal RNA, 200 nt
Filed under: uncultured bacterium
Lineage: Bacteria
Description: partial 16S ribosomal RNA
Rfam family: Bacterial small subunit ribosomal RNA
Source: RNAcentral